GACGAACGCUGGCGGCGUGCUUAACACAUGCAAGUCGAACGAUGAAGCCCAGCUUGCUGGGUGGAUUAGUGGCGAACGGGUGAGUAACACGUGGGUGAUCUGCCCUGCACUCUGGGAUAAGCCUGGGAAACUGGGUCUAAUACCGGAUAUGACCUCUUGCUGCAUGGCGAGGGGUGGAAAGUUUUUCGGUGCAGGAUGAGCCCGCGGCCUAUCAGCUUGUUGGUGGGGUAAUGGCCUACCAAGGCGACGACGGGUAGCCGGCCUGAGAGGGCGACCGGCCACACUGGGACUGAGACACGGCCCAGACUCCUACGGGAGGCAGCAGUGGGGAAUAUUGCACAAUGGGCGAAAGCCUGAUGCAGCGACGCCGCGUGAGGGAUGACGGCCUUCGGGUUGUAAACCUCUUUCAGCAGGGACGAAGCGAAAGUGACGGUACCUGCAGAAGAAGCAC
This 451-nucleotide ribosomal RNA is filed under the name Rhodococcus sp. ITRH42. Its description in RNAcentral is "bacterial SSU rRNA". It matches the Rfam family "Bacterial small subunit ribosomal RNA", at positions 28 to 493 of the family's 1533-position model. Lineage: Bacteria; Bacillati; Actinomycetota; Actinomycetes; Mycobacteriales; Nocardiaceae. The record is from RNAcentral.